AACGCACGAGACCUGCGGACCUGCGGAAGGAUCAUUAAUGAGAAACUGCCCCUCGCGGGUAGAUCUCCCACCCUUUGUAAACUUACCUUUGUUGCUUUGGCAGGCCCGUCUCCGGACCGCCGGCUUCGGCUGGCCAGUGCCUGCCAGAGGAUUCUAAAACUCUGUCUGUCAGUGUUGUCUGAGUCUAUAUACAAUCGUUAAAACUUUCAACAACGGAUCUCUAGAUCGGAAGAGACACGU
RNAcentral lists this unclassified non-coding RNA (240 nucleotides) under soil metagenome. RNAcentral's name for it is "partial contains 5.8S ribosomal RNA, internal transcribed spacer 2, and large subunit ribosomal RNA". The record is from RNAcentral.